CCAGUCCAUCCUGACAGCUGCCA
RNAcentral lists this non-coding RNA (23 nucleotides) under Arabidopsis thaliana (thale cress). The record is from RNAcentral. Lineage: Eukaryota; Viridiplantae; Streptophyta; Magnoliopsida; Brassicales; Brassicaceae.